This 642-nucleotide long non-coding RNA is filed under the name Homo sapiens (human). RNAcentral describes it as "novel transcript". The record is from RNAcentral. Lineage: Eukaryota; Metazoa; Chordata; Mammalia; Primates; Hominidae.
GGGCCUGGUCUCAAGACACAGUCAGUUGGGGAUCAGAGGCCACACUCAUCGUAGCAGAGAGGCAGGAACAGCUGGGCGAGGGUCCUUCUGUGACAUCUACUGCAUCACUGGGCUCUGUGAAGUGACUCAGCUGCCAGAACUCACACAAUAUUCUGCACCAAAACCUCACGGGAAAAAUGCAUCACGAACCUCAGACUUAAACAGCACAACAGGCUCCUCCCAGGUCUCCAGCUACACAACCCUCAGACUUAAACAACAGCAGCGGCACCAGCUCCUCCCUGGGUCUCCAGCUCCACAAACCUCAAAUUAGAACAGCAGCACUGGCUACACCCAGUCUCCAGCUCUACACCUCUAACUUGAACUACAGCCACCAGCUCCUUCCUGGGUCUCCGGCUCCACAGACCUUAAACGAAAACAGCAGCACUGGCUCCUCCCCAGGUCCCCAGCUACAGACCCUCAAACAAGAAGAACAGCAGCACCAGCUCCACCUAAAGUCUCCAGCUCCACACCUCAAACUAGAACUUCAGCACCCGCUCCUCCCCGAGUCUCAAUAUCUGUGACCCUCAAAAUAAAACAGCAGGACCAGCUCCUCCUCUGGUCUUCAGCUUCACGACCUUAACUGUAACAGCACCACCCGCUCCU